RNAcentral lists this long non-coding RNA (638 nucleotides) under Monodelphis domestica (gray short-tailed opossum). Its description in RNAcentral is "lncRNA (ENSMODG00000034069.2)". The record is from RNAcentral. Lineage: Eukaryota; Metazoa; Chordata; Mammalia; Didelphimorphia; Didelphidae.
AAUAAGUUUCAUCUUCCUCAAAAUGGUGCCCAGGGCUGGUUCCAUCCUCCUGACACUCACUAGUAGGAGAGCUGAAAACCGCGGACAGGGAUGCUCAUGGCCUCAGAACCCUUUGACUUUGUCCAGUGGAGGGGAUGGGACAAGCCCGUGACCAUUCCUUACUCUGGCAGCCUCCGACAGCCUGACACUCCUAUUAGCCCAGGGGAGUAAACAGACCCACAGCUGUCUAUAAAAAGCCGGAAACAGUUCUGUUUCCAUUCAAGGUGGAUGACUGGGGGGUGCGUGGGAGGGGGCGAGGACCGCUACAUCUGGGCGAGGGCGGAGAUGAUCUGCUGCCUCUGACGCUUCUGUUGUUAUCCCGAAGAAGGGCUUUCUUCAUCCUAGAGACUCGGGUUCUUUGUUUCCUGUGGCAGAGUGGCCAAGAACUGAAUACUACUGGGGUGCCCAUCAUUUAGGAAUGGCUGAAGAGAUUAUGGUACAUGAAUGGAACGGAAUAUGAUCUAGUUGAAAAAAGUGAAGAAACUGUUUCAAAGAGACAUAAAAAGGUCUGUAUGAGCUGAUGCAAAGUGAACUGAGCUGUCGUUAUCAUCAUUGCCUGUAAAUUGGUAGUUUUUCACCUCCAUAGAAUCAGUGUAAAG